This 440-nucleotide ribosomal RNA is filed under the name uncultured bacterium. RNAcentral describes it as "partial 16S ribosomal RNA". It matches the Rfam family "Bacterial small subunit ribosomal RNA", at positions 338 to 795 of the family's 1533-position model. The record is from RNAcentral.
CCUACGGGGGGCUGCAGUGGGGAAUAUUGCACAAUGGGGGAAACCCUGAUGCAGCGACGCCGCGUGAGUGAAGAAGUAAUUCGUUAUGUAAAGCUCUAUCAGCAGGGCAGAAAAUGACGGUACCUGAGUAAGAAGCCCCGGCUAACUACGUGCCAGCAGCCGCGGUAAUACGUAGGGGGCAAUCGUUAUCCGGCUUUACUGGGUGGAAAGGGAGCGUAGACGGGAGUGCAAGUCUGGAGUGAAAGGCGGGGGCUCAACCCCCGGACUGCUCUGGAAACUGUACGGCUGGAGUGCAGGAGAGGUAAGUGGAAUUCCUGGUGUAGCGGUGAAAUGCGUAGAUAUUAGGAGGAACACCAGUGGCGAAGGCGGCUUACUGGACUGUAACUGACGUUGAGGCUCGAAAGCGUGGGGAGCAAACAGGAUUAGAUACCCGUGUAGUC